This 253-nucleotide ribosomal RNA is filed under the name uncultured bacterium. RNAcentral describes it as "partial 16S ribosomal RNA". It matches the Rfam family "Bacterial small subunit ribosomal RNA", at positions 524 to 776 of the family's 1533-position model. The record is from RNAcentral.
UACAGAGGUCUCAAGCGUUGUUCGGAUUCAUUGGGCGUAAAGGGUGCGUAGGUGGCGCGGUAAGUCGGGUGUGAAAUCUCGGAGCUUAACUCCGAAAUUGCAUUCGAUACUGCCGUGCUUGAGGACUGGAGAGGAGACUGGAAUUUACGGUGUAGCAGUGAAAUGCGUAGAGAUCGUAAGGAAGACCAGUGGCGAAGGCGGGUCUCUGGACAGUUCCUGACACUGAGGCACGAAGGCCAGGGGAGCGAACGGG